This 403-nucleotide ribosomal RNA is filed under the name bacterium. Its description in RNAcentral is "partial 16S ribosomal RNA". It matches the Rfam family "Bacterial small subunit ribosomal RNA", at positions 355 to 776 of the family's 1533-position model. The record is from RNAcentral.
UGGGGAAUAUUGCACAAUGGGGGAAACCCUGAUGCAGCGACGCCGCGUGAACGAAGAAGGUAUUCGUAUCGUAAAGUUCUGUCCUAUGGGAAGAGAAUGACAGUACCAUAGAAGAAAGCUCCGGCUAAAUACGUGCCAGCAGCCGCGGUAAUACGUAUGGAGCGAGCGUUGUCCGGAAUUAUUGGGCGUAAAGGGUACGCAGGCGGUUUAAUAAGUCGAAUGUUAAAGAUCGGGGCUCAACCCCGCAAAGCAUUGGAAACUGAUAAACUUGAGUAGUGGAGAGGAAAGUGGAAUUCCUAGUGUAGUGGUGAAAUACGUAGAUAUUAGGAGGAAUACCAGUAGCGAAGGCGACUUUCUGGACACAAACUGACGCUGAGGUACGAAAGCGUGGGGAGCAAACAGG